This 200-nucleotide unclassified non-coding RNA is filed under the name soil metagenome. RNAcentral's name for it is "partial contains internal transcribed spacer 2 and large subunit ribosomal RNA". The record is from RNAcentral.
GCUUGGUGUUGGACGGCUUGGUGGCGGCCUUCGGGCGGCGACCCCUCCUAAAGACAAUGACGGCGGCCUGUGGUUCCCCCGGUACACUGAGCUUUUUACGAGGCACGUAUCGGACAGCGCCCGGGACCCGGUCCUUCUGCGUUUCGGCGCAAAUUAUCAAGGUUGACCUCGGAUCAGGUAGGAAUACGCGCUGAACUUAA